Molecule: transfer RNA, 99 nt
Filed under: Pelodiscus sinensis (Chinese soft-shelled turtle)
Lineage: Eukaryota; Metazoa; Chordata; Testudines; Trionychidae
Rfam family: tRNA
About the family: Transfer RNA (tRNA) molecules are approximately 80 nucleotides in length. Their secondary structure includes four short double-helical elements and three loops (D, anti-codon, and T loops).
Source: Rfam by way of RNAcentral
GGCAGGGUGGCCGAGUGGUCUAAGGUGCUAGAUUCAAGAUGCUGUUUUUCCCUCAAUUGGGUGUUCUGGGAGGUGUGGGUUCAAAUCACACCCCUGACA